RNAcentral lists this ribosomal RNA (546 nucleotides) under uncultured fungus. Its description in RNAcentral is "eukaryotic LSU rRNA". The stretch from base 188 to 341 matches the Rfam family "5.8S ribosomal RNA". Lineage: Eukaryota; Fungi. The record is from RNAcentral.
AACAAGGUCUCCGUUGGUGAACCAGCGGAGGGAUCAUUACCGAGUUUACAACUCCCAAACCCCUGUGAACAUACCACUUGUUGCCUCGGCGGAUCAGCCCGCUCCCGGUAAAACGGGACGGCCCGCCAGAGGACCCCUAAACUCUGUUUCUAUAUGUAACUUCUGAGUAAAACCAUAAAUAAAUCAAAACUUUCAACAACGGAUCUCUUGGUUCUGGCAUCGAUGAAGAACGCAGCAAAAUGCGAUAAGUAAUGUGAAUUGCAGAAUUCAGUGAAUCAUCGAAUCUUUGAACGCACAUUGCGCCCGCCAGUAUUCUGGCGGGCAUGCCUGUUCGAGCGUCAUUUCAACCCUCAAGCACAGCUUGGUGUUGGGACUCGCGUUAAUUCGCGUUCCCCAAAUUGAUUGGCGGUCACGUCGAGCUUCCAUAGCGUAGUAGUAAAACCCUCGUUACUGGUAAUCGUCGCGGCCACGCCGUUAAACCCCAACUUCUGAAUGUUGACCUCGGAUCAGGUAGGAAUACCCGCUGAACUUAAGCAUAUCAAUAAA